Unclassified non-coding RNA from Pongo abelii (Sumatran orangutan), 151 nucleotides. It matches the Rfam family "Metazoan signal recognition particle RNA". Rfam says of the family: The signal recognition particle (SRP) is a universally conserved ribonucleoprotein. The record is from Ensembl. Lineage: Eukaryota; Metazoa; Chordata; Mammalia; Primates; Hominidae.
GCCGGGCAUGGUGGCACAUGCCUGUAGUCUUAGCUACUUGGGAGGCUGAGGUAGGAGGAUCCCUUGAGCCCAGGAGUUUGGGGCUGCAGUGAGCCAUGAUGACACCACUAUACCACUCCAGCCUGGGCGGCAGAGUGAGACCCUAUCUCAA